Molecule: long non-coding RNA, 423 nt
Filed under: Chrysemys picta bellii (western painted turtle)
Lineage: Eukaryota; Metazoa; Chordata; Testudines; Emydidae
Description: lncRNA (ENSCPBG00000015079.1)
Source: RNAcentral
UCUCUCUCUCUCUCACGCUUAGGGUUUCAUCCUGCAUGUGACAUUCUGCUAUGGAACAGAUGCAAAAAGGCCCGGCAAUAACAUUGAGCAUCCACCCUUUGCACGGUGCAUGCAGAGAGAGGCUUCCUCCUAGCACAGAGGGCACAAGAACAUCCAUGCUACUUUGGCUGUGUGAAAGCUACUUAAUGAUUGGGUAAUAUUACCUAUACACAACAGCAAAAUAUAUUAGAUUAAUAUUGGCUAUUACUAGUGCUUCCAACAUGUCAAAAAGACACAAGCUUGUUGGAGAGAUGAGUCCAUCAACAGAGACAUCCCAUUCCUCUACUGCAUGGGGAAAGUAGGAGCUUUGUCACAAAGACAUGGGUGUAGAGUUGAUUAAUCCACCAGAAUAAAAAAAAAGAGCAUGUUGGAUCUGGCUAUGGA